ACACCGGCAGCCCAAGUGGUGGCCAUUUUUAUUGGGCCUAAAGCGUUCGUAGCCGGCCUGAUAAGUCUCUGGUGAAAUCCCGCAGCUUAACUGUGGGAAUUGCUGGAGAUACUAUCAGGCUUGAGGUCGGGAGAGGUUAGAGGUACUCCCAGGGUAGGGGUGAAAUCCUAUAAUCCUGGGAGGACCACCUGUGGCGAAGGCGGCUAACUGGAACGAACCUGACGGUGAGUAACGAAAGCCAGGGGCGCGAACCGGAUUAGAUGCCCGGGUAGUCCUGGCCGUAAACGAUGUGGACUUGGUGUUGGGAUGGCCUCGAGCUGCCCCAGUGCCGAAGGGAAGCUGUUAAGUCCACCGCCUGGGAAGUACGGUCGCAAGACUGAAACUCAAAGGAAUUGGCGGGG
This 401-nucleotide ribosomal RNA is filed under the name uncultured bacterium. Its description in RNAcentral is "partial 16S ribosomal RNA". It matches the Rfam family "Archaeal small subunit ribosomal RNA", at positions 473 to 873 of the family's 1478-position model. The record is from RNAcentral.